UGCCAAAGUAUGCCCUUGGCUUGCUGCAAUCUUCAAUUCUUGUACCCUUGUCUUUAAAUACAUUCAUCCUUUCGGUCAUCCCUCACAGUUCGAUCAUGUUCUUUGCUCUUCCUAACUAUUUUAUCUUCUCCAAUUUGCUUCAUCAAAUCACCUAGCUCAUGUCUAUUUGCUUGUCGUACCCGAACCAAAUCUUUGAUCUUGACACGGGCAUGAUCUUACUCUGCUUCCAGUGCCUUUAUCAAAGCUAUAUUGGAAGGUUAUAAGGCGGUGUCGGCGACUUAACCGGCGUUGGAGAAGA
Molecule: long non-coding RNA, 298 nt
Organism: Argentina anserina (silverweed cinquefoil)
Lineage: Eukaryota; Viridiplantae; Streptophyta; Magnoliopsida; Rosales; Rosaceae
Exons: 2
Source: RefSeq, a predicted model, not a curated record